RNAcentral lists this ribosomal RNA (420 nucleotides) under uncultured bacterium. RNAcentral describes it as "bacterial SSU rRNA". It matches the Rfam family "Bacterial small subunit ribosomal RNA", at positions 29 to 495 of the family's 1533-position model. The record is from RNAcentral.
AACGAACGCUGGCGGCAGGCUUAACACAUGCAAGUCGAGCGCACUCUUCGGAGUGAGCGGCGGACGGGUUAGUAACGCGUGGGAACGUGCCCUUCUCUAAGGAAUAGCCACUGGAAACGGUGAGUAAUACCUUAUACGCCCUUCGGGGGAAAGAUUUAUCGGAGAAGGAUCGGCCCGCGUUAGAUUAGAUAGUUGGUGGGGUAACGGCCUACCAAGCCUACGAUCUAUAGCUGGUUUGAGAGGAUGAUCAGCAACACUGGGACUGAGACACGGCCCAGACUCCUACGGGAGGCAGCAGUGAGGAAUCUUGGACAAUGGGGGAAACCCUGAUCCAGCCAUGCCGCGUGAACGAUGAAGGCCUUAGGGUUGUAAAGUUCUUUCGCCUGGGAAGAUAAUGACGGUACCAGGUAAGAAGCCCGG